This 301-nucleotide ribosomal RNA is filed under the name uncultured bacterium. Its description in RNAcentral is "partial 16S ribosomal RNA". It matches the Rfam family "Bacterial small subunit ribosomal RNA", at positions 509 to 807 of the family's 1533-position model. The record is from RNAcentral.
CAGCAGCCGCGGGAAUACAGUGGUCCCAAGCGUUGUUCGGAAUCACUGGGCGUAAAGGGUGCGUAGGCGGCGCGGAAAGUCAGGGGUGAAAUCCCGGAGCUCAACUCCGGAACUGCCUUUGAUACUCCCGCGCUUGAGAACUGGAGGGGAGACCGGAAUUCACGGUGGAGCAGUGAAAUGCGUGGAUAUCGUGAGGAACACUAGUGGCGAAGGCGGGUCUCUGGACAGUAUCUGACGCUGAGGCACGAAGGCCAGGGGAGCGAACGGGAUUAGAUACCCGCGUAGUCCCUGUCUCUUAUAC